UGAAUACGAGAUGCUACGGCGUCGAAGCAGUGUAUGUCAGACUUCCAAGAAAAGCUCGCAAUGUCAUAAAUAAAGAAUGCCUGUACCAUAACCGACACAGGUGGGUAGGUAGAGUAUACUAAGGGGCGCGAGAUAACUCUCUCUAAGGAACUCGGCAAAAUAACUCCGUAACUUCGGGAGAAGGAGUGCCUUCUUUAAGAAGGUUGCAAUAACAAGAUCCAAGCAACUGUUUAUCAAAAACACAGGUCUCCGCUAAGUCGUAAGACGAUGUAUGGGGGCUGACGCCUGCCCAGUGCCAGAAGGUUAAAGAAGUUGGUUAGCUUUUGCGAAGCUGAUGACUGAAGCCCUGGUGAACGGCGGCCGUAACUAUAACGGUCCUAAGGUAGCGAAAUUCCUUGUCGGGUAAGUUCCGACCCGCACGAAAGGCGUAAUGAUUUGGAUACUGUCUCGGAGAGGGACUCGGUGAAAUAGACUUGUCUGUGAAGAUGCGGACUACCUGCACCAGGACAGAAAGACCCUAUGAAGCUUUACUGUAACUUGAAAUUGAAAUUGGACUUUAUUUGCGCAGUAUAGGUGGAAGGCGUUGAAAGUAAUCUUGCGGGAUUAGUGGAGCCAUCAGUGAGAUACCACUCCUAUAAUGUUAGAUUUCUAACUUUGGAUCAUGAUCUGGUCAAAGAACAGUUUCAGGCGGGCAGUUUGACUGGGGCGGUCGCCUCCCAAAUGGUAACGGAGGCGUACAAAGGUUUCCUCUGAACGGGUAGAAAUCGUAUCUAGAGUGUAAAGGCAUAAGGAAGCUUGACUGUGAGACCUACAAGUCGAGCAGGGACGAAAGUCGGUCUUAGUGAUCUGACGGUGCUGAGUGGAAAGGCCGUCACUCAACGGAUAAAAGUUACUCUAGGAUAACAGGCUGAUCUCCCCCAAGAGUUCACAUCGACGGGGAGGUUUGGCACCUCGAUGUCGGCUCAUCGCAUCCUGGGGCGGUAGUACGUCCCAAGGGUUGGGCUGUUCGCCCAUGAAAGCGGUACGCGAGCUGGGUUCAGAACGUCGUGAGACAGUUCGGUCCAUAUCCGGUGUAGGCGUUAGAAUAUUGAGAGGAGCCUUCUUUAGUACGAGAGGACCGAGAAGGACAUACCUCUGGUGUACCAGUUAUCGUGCCAACGGUAAACGCUGGGUAGCUAUGUAUGGAGAGGAUAACCGCUGAAAGCAUCUAAGUGGGAAGCCCACCUCAAGAUGAGUAUUCUCAC
Molecule: ribosomal RNA, 1244 nt
Filed under: metagenome
Description: bacterial LSU rRNA
Rfam family: Bacterial large subunit ribosomal RNA
Source: RNAcentral